This 746-nucleotide long non-coding RNA is filed under the name Phascolarctos cinereus (koala). Its description in RNAcentral is "lncRNA (ENSPCIG00000033343.1)". Lineage: Eukaryota; Metazoa; Chordata; Mammalia; Diprotodontia; Phascolarctidae. The record is from RNAcentral.
GAAAUCUGUUCUAUAUUUUUUCCAGAACUGAUGAAAAUAAUUCAAGAAAACUGGGCAGGUUUCGGGGGGGGGGGUGCGGACAACACAGUAUUGUUCAAUAUAGUUUUAAAGCUAGGAAGAAAGGAAAUGCUAUUAAAUCCUUGUAUGAACCAUCCAGUAAUUAGUCAGAGAGGACUUCCUGGAGGAGAAGAAGGGAUUUCAAGAUCCAAUUAAACAGAGACCAGCCAGAGGCUUGGAUCCAAACUUGAGAGCAAAAGCCUGAGAAAACAGAUGGGUCUCCCUUAGUGACCUGCAGAUCAACAGCCUCCCUGCCUGGCAGCUGGACCAGAAGGAGUUCAGGACUCAGGGCUCUGCAUCAGAAACAUGCUGCGUCCAUCCCCUGGAGUUCAAAGUGAGACACUGUCCCCUACAUGCCCUUCUUUGAUCGACUGUUGAGAAGACUGUUUGGGAAUGCGACCAGGAUUGCUGUCCCAGUGGAUUAAGGCAAUCCUGGAGCCAAAGCAGUAGGAUUAGGAAAGGUUUUGAGGUGGUGGGGGUGGACAAAAAAUUUAAAAGGCAUAUUUAUUUGCACUAGAGAAAUGAAUGGGUUUUUAAGGCAGAACCUAUCCUCCAAAAAAACUUUUAUAAGAAAUAUGGAGGUUGAAAUUUAAAUUUUGAAUUCAUUUCAAUGAACUAAAACUAGGUAAGUUGAUGUGGUGGUGACUGAUGAGAAAUGGUACAAUAAAAAUUUAGCCUACCAGUGACCA